UACAGAGGUCUCAAGCGUUGUUCGGAUUCAUUGGGCGUAAAGGGUGCGUAGGCGGCGGGGCAAGUCGGAUGUGAAAUCUCAGGGCUCAACCCUGAAACUGCAUUCGAUACUGCCUUGCUCGAGGACUGGAGAGGAGAGUGGAAUUCACGGUGUAGCAGUGAAAUGCGUAGAUAUCGUGAGGAAGACCAGUGGCGAAGGCGGAUCUCUGGACAGUUCCUGACGCUGAGGCACGAAGGCCGGGGGAGCAAACGGG
Molecule: ribosomal RNA, 253 nt
Filed under: uncultured bacterium
Lineage: Bacteria
Description: partial 16S ribosomal RNA
Rfam family: Bacterial small subunit ribosomal RNA
Source: RNAcentral